This is a long non-coding RNA of Pongo pygmaeus (Bornean orangutan), 2004 nucleotides long. RefSeq lists it as uncharacterized. The transcript has 3 exons. NCBI's taxonomy places the organism in Eukaryota, Metazoa, Chordata, Mammalia, Primates, Hominidae. The record is from RefSeq and is a predicted model, not a curated record.
GCGCUUUGCAGCUCACUCCUGAGCCAGUGCCCAGCCCCAGGAGGGGCUGACCAGCUGAUGCGUGGUGAGAGACGAGCAGGCCCUCAAGAUGCACUCUCCGAGAGAGUGAAGAAAGCAACACGAUAAAGACAAGCCUCUACAGAUGGUUGGGAAAUCAAAAGACUCCAGGGUUUUUGAAACUCCCUGUCAUUUCCAGGAUCUAGCUCUUCUUCUAGGAAUAUACUUAGCUUUCCCCUGAGUCAAUGUCUGCCUACCAUUCACCCGGGAACGACUUACCUAUGAACUGGAUAUUUUCCUCUAAAAAUGAUGCAUCCUCUUCCAAGAAGCCCUCCUGGAUUGGGGCUGGGAGCCCUCCUCUGAGGACCAGCAGCCUCCUGCACCAACCAGCCCUAUGAACUUCCCCAUUUGGUGGUGGGGAGAAGGUGUCAACAUCUGUCUGCCUCAUAGAACUCUAAGCUCUCUGAAGGCAGAGGCAAGAUAAUGUGAUAAAUUGAAUAGGUUUUCAGGGCACGUCUGUGAAACUGAACAACAACAGCAGCAGCUGGAACUGAAUUUUCCUGGGAGCCCAGGAUAGGAACUAGAUUCCUGACCAGAAAGCAAGGGAUGGAGAGUCCAGGAGAGCUUCCUGGAAGAGGUGGCAUUGGGACAGGCUUGAAAAGAUGGUCAGGAAUUGGGACAGGCAGAGGAGAAGAAGGGAAGCAUUUCAGGCAAAAGGGAACAGCAGAGAUGAGACAAGUGGAAGGGUGAACUAUAGUUUAGUGGGGUGGAAGGCUGGGAAGAAUGGGGGGAUCAUACUCCAAGCCUUCAGAAGACAGAAUCCCAUGGAACAGUCCUGGCUAAAAACUGAUUUCUACUUCCUCUUCUGGAUGAGCAGAACGUGGGGAUCCUCCCUCCUUCAGGCUUUUCCUGGGAAGCCCCACCCGCCUUAUCUGCACGGAGGACACCAAGUUCCCAGGGCUGGAUGGGUGCCAGCCCCGGCUGCUGACUUGCCGCUCUGGCAACUAAGGAGCUGGAACGUGGAGCUGGGACUUCCACAUAAGUCCAGCAUCCAAGUCCUCAAAGUUGGUCCCUCCGGAGCAGUGGGAAGCACGUCUCCCAAGCUGGAGUCACUAUUCCUUGCUCUGUUGCCCAAGAGAACCCUGCAACACGCACCCAGAGCCUCAGUGUUGCCAUAGGUACAUGAGGAGGAGCGUGGGCUAGAGGCAUCAAAAGCCCUGCCUGCUCCAGGGACCUGGGAUUUCUGAGAGCAAAUGCUGCCUCUGCCUCCUUGGGGGGAGACACAGCCCCCACCACAACACCAGAUGAGACUCUCAUCAAUCCCAAGACCGAGUCCUAGCCUCUCAUCCAGCUUAGGUGGAUUGAUUAGCACCACUUUCUAGGGCUUUGUACCCUUCAUUUCUUCUUGCCAGCUCCAUCUACCUAGACCCCUCUCUUUUCCAAUUCUCAUAAACUGGACCCUCUCUUUUCUCCCCAGAAUUAAAGGGGUGCUGGAUUCUCUUAGUCUUGCCUCCCUCCCUUGGCACAUAUGCCCAUUUUGGUACUACUACUAUGACUUCUGCUAGGAUUGCUGCCACUGUCUUCUCGUAGUCCUUCUAGUCCUUUACUACGACCCUGCCAAUGCUUCCACUAUUACUGCUGGCACUUCUUACUAUGACCACCACAACCAGUACUUCUACUACUAUUGCUUCUACGGCCUCUACUGCAUCCCCACCCAAAUCUCAUCUUGAAUUGUAAUCCCCAUGUGUCGAGAGAGGAACGUGGUGGGAGUUGAUUGGCUCAUAGGGGCGGUUCCCCCCAUGCUGUUCUCGUGAUAGUGAGUGAGUUCUCGUGAGAUUUGAUGGUUUUAAAGUGUGGCACUUCCCCUUUGCUCACUCUCCCCCUCUCCUGCCAUCUUGUGAAGAUGGUGCUUUCUUCCCUUUCACCUUCCACAUGAUUGUAAGUAUCCUGAGUCCUCCCCAGCCAUGAGGAACUGUGAGUCAAUUAAACCUCUUUUGUUUAUAAAUU